Molecule: unclassified non-coding RNA, 191 nt
Filed under: Ambisporaceae sp.
Lineage: Eukaryota; Fungi; Glomeromycota; Glomeromycetes; Archaeosporales; Ambisporaceae
Description: partial contains 5.8S ribosomal RNA and internal transcribed spacer 2
Rfam family: 5.8S ribosomal RNA (bases 1-71)
Source: RNAcentral
GUGAAUCAUCGAAUUUUUGAACGCAUAUUGCACUCUCUGGUAUUCCGGAGAGUAUGCCUGUUUGAGGGUAAUUAAAAAGAAUCUUUACCAAUUUUUUUUGGUCAAAGGAAAUGAGUUCUCCGCGUUUAUAGCGGUAGCUUGAAAUAAUGGUCAAGUCUCAAUUUAAUCGAAGCGCGUUAUAAUAAUAUUUU